CCUACGGGAGGCAGCAGUGGGGAAUAUUGCACAAUGGGGGAAACCCUGAUGCAGCAACGCCGCGUGAAGGAAGACGGUUUUCGGAUUGUAAACUUCUGUUCUUAGUGAAGAAUAAUGACGGUAGCUAAGUAGCAAGCCACGGCUAACUACGUGCCAGCAGCCGCGGUACUACGUAGGUGGCAAGCGUUGUCCGGAAUUACUGGGUGUAAAGGGAGCGCAGGCGGGAAUGCAAGUCAGCUGUGAAAACUACGGGCUUAACUUGUAGACUGCAGUUGAAACUGGUUUUCUUGAGUGAAGUAGAGGUGGGCGGAAUUCCGAGUGUAGCGGUGAAAUGCGUAGAUAUUCGGAGGAACACCGGUGGCGAAGGCGGCCAACUGGGCUUUAACUGACGCUGAGGCUCGAAAGUGUGGGGAGCAAACAGGAUUAGAUACCCGAGUAGUC
This 441-nucleotide ribosomal RNA is filed under the name uncultured bacterium. RNAcentral describes it as "partial 16S ribosomal RNA". It matches the Rfam family "Bacterial small subunit ribosomal RNA", at positions 338 to 795 of the family's 1533-position model. The record is from RNAcentral.